GAUGAAUGCUGGCGGCGUGCCUAACACAUGCAAGUCGAGCGGCAGCGCGAGUAGUUUACUACUUGGCGGCGAGCGGCGGACGGCUGAGUAACGCGUGGGAACGUGCCCCAAAGUGAGGGAUAACGCACCGAAAGGUGUGCUAAUACCGCAUAUGGUCUUCGGAUUAAAGAAUUUAUUCGCUUUGGGAGCGGCCCGCGUCGGAUUAGGUAGUUGGUAGGGUAAUGGCCUACCAAGCCGACGAUCCGUAGCUGGUCUGAGAGGAUGAUCAGCCAGAGUGGAACUGAGACACGGUCCAGACUCCUACGGGAGGCAGCAGUGAGGAAUCUUCCACAAUGGGCGAAAGCCUGAUGGGGCAACGCCGCGUGCAGGAUGAAGGCCUUCGGGUUGUAAACUGCUUUUAUAAGUGAAGAAUAUGACAGUAACUUAUGAAUAAGCACCGGCUAACCACGUGCCAGCCGCCGCCGUAA
This 467-nucleotide ribosomal RNA is filed under the name uncultured bacterium. RNAcentral's name for it is "partial 16S ribosomal RNA". It matches the Rfam family "Bacterial small subunit ribosomal RNA", at positions 28 to 523 of the family's 1533-position model. The record is from RNAcentral.